This 1415-nucleotide unclassified non-coding RNA is filed under the name uncultured fungus. RNAcentral's name for it is "sequence contains 18S rRNA gene, ITS1, 5.8S rRNA gene, ITS2, 28S rRNA gene". The stretch from base 489 to 1415 matches the Rfam family "Eukaryotic large subunit ribosomal RNA", at positions 1 to 961 of the family's 3401-position model. The record is from RNAcentral. Lineage: Eukaryota; Fungi.
GGAGGGAUCAUUACAGAGUUGCAAAACUCCCAACCAUUGUGAACCUACCUCACCGUUGCUUCGGCGGGUGGCCCCCUCCCCAGGGCCGCGCCGGCCCCCCCCCGGGGUCGGCAACCCGUCAGAGGCCCGAAACUCUUAGUAACCACUGGCCUCUCUGAGUAACUUAUACAAUAAGUCAAAACUUUCAACAACGGAUCUCUUGGUUCUGGCAUCGAUGAAGAACGCAGCGAAAUGCGAUACGUAAUGUGAAUUGCAGAUUUCAGUGAAUCAUCGAAUCUUUGAACGCACAUUGCGCCCGCUAGUAUUCUGGCGGGCAUGCCUGUUCGAGCGUCAUUUCAACCAUCAAGCCCCCGGCUUGCGUUGGAGCCCUGCGGCUGCCGCAGGCUCCCAAAUCCAGUGGCGGGCUCGUCGUCGUACCGAGUGCAGUAAACAUCCUCGCUCAGGGAACGCGUCGGGUUCUUGCCGUGAAACCCCCCCUAUAUCAAGGUUGACCUCGGAUCAGGUAGGAAUACCCGCUGAACUUAAGCAUAUCAAUAAGCGGAGGAAAAGAAACCAACAGGGAUUGCCCCAGUAACGGCGAGUGAAGCGGCAACAGCUCAAAUUUGAAAUCUGGCCUCGGCCCGAGUUGUAAUUUGUAGAGGAAGCUUCUGGUGCGGCGCCGUCCGAGUCUCCUGGAACGGAGCGCCAUAGAGGGUGAGAGCCCCGUAUGGACGGAUGCCAAACCUGUGUGAAGCUCCUUCGACGAGUCGAGUAGUUUGGGAAUGCUGCUCUAAAUGGGAGGUAAAUUCCUUCUAAAGCUAAAUAUUGGCCAGAGACCGAUAGCGCACAAGUAGAGUGAUCGAAAGAUGAAAAGCACUUUGAAAAGAGGGUUAAACAGCACGUGAAAUUGUUGAAAGGGAAGCGCUUGUGACCAGACUUGAGCGCGGCGGAUCAUCCGGUGUUCUCACCGGUGCACUCCGCCGCGCCCAGGCCAGCAUCGGUUUCCGCGGGGGGACAAAGGUCCCGGGAACGUAGCUCCUCCGGGAGUGUUAUAGCCCGGGGCGCAAUGCCCCCGCGGGGACCGAGGACCGCGCAUCUGCAAGGAUGCUGGCGUAAUGGUCAUCAGCGACCCGUCUUGAAACACGGACCAAGGAGUCAAGGUUUUGCGCGAGUGUUUGGGUGUUAAACCCGCACGCGUAAUGAAAGUGAACGUAGGUGAGAGCUUCGGCGCAUCAUCGACCGAUCCUGAUGUAUUCGGAUGGAUUUGAGUAGGAGCGUUAAGCCUUGGACCCGAAAGAUGGUGAACUAUGCUUGGAUAGGGUGAAGCCAGAGGAAACUCUGGUGGAGGCUCGCAGCGGUUCUGACGUGCAAAUCGAUCGUCAAAUCUGAGCAUGGGGGCGAAAGACUAAUCGAACCAUCUAGUAGCUGGUUACCGC